CCUACGGGAGGCAGCAGUGGGGGAUAUUGGACAAUGGGGGGAACCCUGAUCCAGCGACGCCGCGUGAGGGAAGAAGUAUUUCGGUAUGUAAAGCUCUGUCAGCAGGGAAGAAAGAAAUGACGGUACCUGACCAAGAAGCCCCGGCUAACUACGUGCCAGCGCCCGCGGUAAUACGUAGGGCGCAAGCGUUAACCGGAAUGACUGGGAGUAAAGGGAGCGUAGACGGUUAGGUAAGUCAGGAGUGAAAGGCCGCGGCCCAACCCCGGGACUGCACUUGAAACUAUUUAACUUGAGUGCAGGAGAGGUAAGCGGAAUUCCUAGUGUAGCGGUGAAAUGCGUAGAUAUUAGGAGGAACACCAGUGGCGAAGGCGGCUUACUGGACUGUAACUGACGUUGAGGCGCGAAAGCGUGGGGAGCAAACAGGAUUAGAUACCCUAGUAGUC
Molecule: ribosomal RNA, 443 nt
Filed under: uncultured bacterium
Lineage: Bacteria
Description: partial 16S ribosomal RNA
Rfam family: Bacterial small subunit ribosomal RNA
Source: RNAcentral